GGAACCCAAACAGGACACGGAGGAACCCAAACAGGAACCAUGGGGGUGGCCUGGGACGACACGGUGGGGGGGGCACAAAGGGACACGGAUGGUGACAUUGGGGGGGACCCAAAGGGGGGGCUCCUACCUUCUUGCGGUGGGGGUGGCUCUUGGCCAGGCAGGAGCGCGGCAGCGCCAGGUACCCGCCGAUGACCUGGAUCUCCUCGGCCGUGGGGUAACGCUUCUUGGGGGGGGGCAGCGGCCCCGGUGCCGGUUGGGGGGGCUCAGGCGCGGCGGCGGCCCCGGGGCCCCCGCGGCGCGGGCGCACGGUGAUGGUGUUGCCGCUGCGGCGCUCCAGCGCCGGGUGGCCCAGGGGGGGCCCGUGGCGGGGGCCCCCGCGCAUGGCGGCGCCCGGCUCCUCCCACCCGCACCCGGCGCCGGUGACGGCGGCGGCGGCACCACCGAGCACGUGGUGGGGCCGGAGGGUGGCUCCGUGUCCUUGGGUGGCAGCAGGUCUUUAGUUGUAACCAGGGCCUUUGGUGUCACCAUGUUCUUGGGUGUCAACAGGUCUUUGGGUGUCACCAUGUCCUUGGGUGUCCCCGGUUUUGGGUGUCACCAGGUCCUUGGGUGUCAACAGGUCUUUGGGUGUCACCAUGUCCUUUGGUGUCACCACGUUCUUGGUUGCCACCAGGUCCUUGGUUGUCCCCAGGUCUUUGGGUGUCACCAUGUCCUUGGGUGUCACCAUGUCCUUUGGUGUCACCACGUUCUUGGUUGCCACCAUGUCCUUGGUUGUGCCCAGGUCCUCGGAUGUCACCAUGUCCUUGGGUGUCACCAGGUCCUUGGAUGUCACCAAGUCUUUGGGUGUCCCCAGGUCUUUGGGUGUCCCCAUGUCCUUUGGUGUCACCAGGUCCUUGCUUGUCCCCAGGUCUUUGGUUGCCCCCAGCCCCUCAACAGCCCCUGGGCUGGUGGCCCCUCCAUGGCCCUUCACCACCCUAUAGCCCUCAACUGUCCCCACCAUGCCCUUCACUGCCCCCCAUGUCUCAACAGUCCCCACAUCCUUGGUUGCCCCACAUCUCUCAACAGUCCCCAUGUCCUUGCUUGCCCCCCCAUGUCUCAAUGGUCCCUAUAUCCUUGCUCGCCCCCCAUGUCUCAAAGGUCCCUAUAUCCUUGCUCGCCCCCCAUGUCUCAAUGGUCCCCAUGUCCUUGCUUGCCCCCCAUCUCUCAAUGGUCCCCAUGUCCUUGCUUGCCCCCCUCUCAAUGGUCCCCAUGUCCUUGCUUGUCCCCAGCUCUUUUCGCCCCGGGCUGGUGCCCCCCCCAUGGUCCUUGGCUGUUCUAUGGCUCUCAACUGUCCCCACCGCGUCCUUCACCGCCCCCCACGUCCCCCCCAUCCUACAACCCUCAACGUCCUCACCCGGCCCCACAUCCUCUCCCGCCCCGCUCCCGCUCGGGGGCCGGUCCCGCUCGGGGCUGAGGGACCGCGCUGGGGAGAAGCGGGAGCGGAGGCGACUGACGCGGCCGCGCGGGGGCUCCGCUUCCCCGCAGCGCUCCAGCGCCUCCGCGCUGCGGCUCAGCCCGGCGCCAGCAGCGGCGCGCCGCCGCCUCGGUCCCGCUGCCGCCCCCGGCCUUGGCGCGGCGCCGCUCCAGCAGCUCCCGCUUCCAAAGGGGAAGCUGCGCGCCCGGUCCGCUGCUCCCGCUCCCGCCGCCGGGAAGCCUCCUCCUCCCGUCGCCGCCGCUCCAGCAGCUGCAGCUUCCAGCCGGGAACAGCCAUGUCUGCGGAG
Long non-coding RNA from Strigops habroptila (Kakapo), 1757 nucleotides. The record is from Ensembl. Lineage: Eukaryota; Metazoa; Chordata; Aves; Psittaciformes; Psittacidae.